This 74-nucleotide transfer RNA is filed under the name Streptosporangium roseum. Its description in RNAcentral is "tRNA-Ala". It matches the Rfam family "tRNA". From Rfam's summary of the family: Transfer RNA (tRNA) molecules are approximately 80 nucleotides in length. Their secondary structure includes four short double-helical elements and three loops (D, anti-codon, and T loops). RNAcentral also lists the same sequence under 1 other name. Lineage: Bacteria; Bacillati; Actinomycetota; Actinomycetes; Streptosporangiales; Streptosporangiaceae. The record is from RNAcentral.
GGGUCUGUAGCGCAGUCGGCCGUCGCGCCUCUUUGGCAAAGAGGAGGACGCUGGUUCGAAUCCAGCCGGGCCCA